Oopsacas minuta is the source of this 72-nucleotide non-coding RNA. NCBI's taxonomy places the organism in Eukaryota, Metazoa, Porifera, Hexactinellida, Lyssacinosida, Leucopsacidae. The record is from the annotation of a GenBank genome assembly.
UGCUUUUUGGUUUAUUGGUGAGAACAUAUAACUUAGGAUUAUAAGAACCGGGUUCGACUCCCGGAAAGGUCU